GAUGAACGCUGACAGAAUGCUUAACACAUGCAAGUCUACUUGAACUUCGGUUUGGGUGGCGGACGGGUGAGUAACGCGUAAAGAACUUACCUCACAGUUAGGGACAACAUUUGGAAACGAAUGCUAAUACCUGAUAUUAUGAUUUUAGGGCAUCCUAAGAUUAUGAAAGCUAUAUGCGCUGUGAGAGAGCUUUGCGUCCCAUUAGCUAGUUGGAGAGGUAACGGCUCACCAAGGCGAUGAUGGGUAGCCGGCCUGAGAGGGUGAACGGCCACAAGGGGACUGAGACACGGCCCGUACUCCUACGGGAGGCAGCAGUGGGGAAUAUUGGACAAUGGACCAAAAGUCUGAUCCAGCAAUUCUGUGUGCACGAUGACGUUUUUCGGAAUGUAAAGUGCUUUCAGUUGGGAAGAAAAAAAUGACGGUACCAACAGAAGAAGUGACGGCUAAAUACGUG
Molecule: ribosomal RNA, 454 nt
Filed under: uncultured bacterium
Lineage: Bacteria
Description: partial 16S ribosomal RNA
Rfam family: Bacterial small subunit ribosomal RNA
Source: RNAcentral